Molecule: unclassified non-coding RNA, 137 nt
Filed under: uncultured Podospora
Lineage: Eukaryota; Fungi; Ascomycota; Sordariomycetes; Sordariales; Lasiosphaeriaceae
Description: sequence contains ITS1
Source: RNAcentral
CAGAGUUGCAAAACUCCCAACCCUUUGCGAACGAACUAGACAGUUGCCUCGGCGGAGGGCCCUUCAGGGGGCUGUCCGCCGGAGGACCGCUAAACUCUUGUAUUUUUGGCCUCUCUGAGUAAUUCUAUAAUGAAUCA